This 68-nucleotide transfer RNA is filed under the name Marmota monax (woodchuck). RNAcentral's name for it is "tRNA.Val". The record is from RNAcentral. Lineage: Eukaryota; Metazoa; Chordata; Mammalia; Rodentia; Sciuridae.
GGAUUGUGGCUCAGUGGCAGAGCACUUGCCUAACAUGUGUAAGGCCCUGGGUUCGAUCCUCAGCACCA